Molecule: RNA transcript, 958 nt
Organism: Zophobas morio
Lineage: Eukaryota; Metazoa; Arthropoda; Insecta; Coleoptera; Tenebrionidae
Exons: 2
Source: RefSeq, a predicted model, not a curated record
CGUAUCCUUGACAUUAAUAAACCACUUCCUUUAUGUAACUGGCAAGCGAUAGGUACCGAUUACCGACACAAAACUGAAGUGAUAUUUUUACGUUUCCGUAAUAGCAGUAGGUAUAUAGAUAUGCAAUUUUUCCAAAUCAGAACCGUGCAACGACCUUCGCUUUUUAGAAUCAGCAACCAGCAUAAUGUGAAAUAUUUCGUGAUAACUCCGUUCCUCGUCUUCUAAAAAGCCAAAAUUUGGCGAAAUCUCAUUCCGCAAGCUCCCACAUCGUGCCGAAGUUGCUAUUGGUAUCAUUGAUUGGCAAAGGCCGCCACGCGACGUCAGAAUAAGUAGGGCUUAGAAAAAACUCUAAUCUGCUUACUAGAGGGCGAAUCACAGUGUUUAGACGGAAUCAUAUUAGGAAGGUUAUAAUCGUGCAUCAACAUGCGAUACAAGCGACGUGCGUCCACGGACUGGCGCUAGUAGGUGGCAAUAUCGAUUCGAAAGCAGACCAAGAAACGCUCUCGCUGGAAAAUCAAAGACUUCAGCAGGAUCGGAGCUUCCCUUGCAAGAAUCUGAAUUCCGGUCGGAAAUGUUGGGCGACGAGCAAUUACCUUGAGGUGAUGGGGUUAGUGGAACGAACGGGACUGAAGUGGCCGCAGAGGCGAGGGAUGUGGGGUACGGGCACACUGCAGGUGGAGGACUUUGAACUAUGGCAUUAGGGGGGAAGGGUCGGACGAUAGCUGACAUUUGGAGGAGGUGGGUUAUUCUACCAAGUGACCUGUGGAAUGCACGGGAAAUGGACGCGUUAAGUAGUGAUUAUGGUAAUGUCUGAUAACGCGUCAUGAGUGCAACUGGCAGAGGGUAGUAAACGACGAUAAUACUAAUUCAUGAAACUUUCAGUAAAUUAAUUUUUUCAUUUUUGUAGAAAUUUGAUGAUGUCAACUCCAAAAAUUAUUAAAUAAAGUUUUUAAGUAAA